GCCUGGGUGGCUCAGUGGCUGAGCAUCUACCUUUGGUUCAGGGUGUGAUCCCACGGUUCUGGGAUCAAAUCCCACCUCAGGCU
Molecule: non-coding RNA, 83 nt
Organism: Canis lupus familiaris (dog)
Lineage: Eukaryota; Metazoa; Chordata; Mammalia; Carnivora; Canidae
Source: Rfam